UACGAAGGGAGCUAGCGUUGUUCGGAAUCACUGGGCGUAAAGCGCACGUAGGCGGAUUUGUUAGUCAGGGGUGAAAUCCCGGGGCUCAACCUCGGAACUGCCUUUGAUACUGCAAAUCUAGAGUCCGAUAGAGGUGGGUGGAAUUCCUAGUGUAGAGGUGAAAUUCGUAGAUAUUAGGAAGAACACCGGUGGCGAAGGCGGCCCACUGGAUCGGUACUGACGCUGAGGUGCGAAAGCGUGGGGAGCAAACAGG
RNAcentral lists this ribosomal RNA (253 nucleotides) under uncultured bacterium. Its description in RNAcentral is "partial 16S ribosomal RNA". It matches the Rfam family "Bacterial small subunit ribosomal RNA", at positions 524 to 776 of the family's 1533-position model. The record is from RNAcentral.